This 604-nucleotide long non-coding RNA is filed under the name Mus spicilegus (steppe mouse). Its description in RNAcentral is "lncRNA (ENSMSIG00000009426.1)". The record is from RNAcentral. Lineage: Eukaryota; Metazoa; Chordata; Mammalia; Rodentia; Muridae.
CUCAGGUUUCAGACCCCAGGAUGAUCCCAAGUAGGGCUUUGUCCCAGCGUUCUCCAGAAGACAGGUUCUGGGGAAUGUCUCACGCUGCGCCCUAGCAUGGCGGCAAAGUGGAAGACUGGGCAGGUGUGUGAAGGAAGAUAGAACCUCAUAAACUCUUGUUACAGAAACCAGUCCAGCUCUGCAAGACUGAGAAUCCACUCAGUGAAGAUGCAAUUAUGAAGGCGGAAAAGGCACCCGAGUGAGGUCUUUGCAGAUCCUGGCAGGCUUCGUUCCUUUGAUCCUGGCAGAUGUACUUCCAUUGUCUCAGCCAGGAAGCAGACCCUGGAGCAGAUGUGGUCUCAUAGCUCAGCCACCAUCUUCUUGACACAACAGCCAUUGCUAACCUUGGGUGGAAAUUGCUACAGCAGAAGAGAAGAAAAGGACACCCGCCCCCCAAUGCUAUGAAGUUCAAGUUACUUGGAGAGUAAACCAGUCAUAAACGAAGCCUUCAAAGAAAACCUGUACUAGGGAAGCCCUGGAAAAAUACUUUCAUUAUUAAAAUAGCUUUGCUAAAAUUGUUCCCCAUUUUGACUUAAAGUGAGACACAUUUCACAGUAUUUCCAAG